CACGUAGGGACCAAGCGUUGUCCGGAUUCAUUGGGCGUAAAGAGCUCGUAGGCGGUCUGUCGCGUCGGCUGUGAAAUCCCGAGGCUCAACCUCGGGUCUGCAGUCGAUACGGGCAAACUAGAGUAUUGCAGGGGAGACUGGAAUUCCUGGUGUAGCGGUGAAAUGCGCAGAUAUCAGGAGGAACACCGGUGGCGAAGGCGGGUCUCUGGGCAAUAACUGACGCUGAGGAGCGAAAGCGUGGGGAGCGAACAGG
This 253-nucleotide ribosomal RNA is filed under the name uncultured bacterium. Its description in RNAcentral is "partial 16S ribosomal RNA". It matches the Rfam family "Bacterial small subunit ribosomal RNA", at positions 524 to 776 of the family's 1533-position model. The record is from RNAcentral.